UGGGAAUUUGGACAAUGGGCGAAGCUGAUCCAGCAAUGCCGCGUGUGUGAAGAAGGCCUUCGGGUUGUAAAGCACUUUUGUCCGGAAAGAAAUCCUUGGCUCUAAUACAGUCGGGGGAUGACGGUACCGGAAGAAUAAGCACCGGCUAACUACGUGCCAGCAGCCGCGGUAAUACGUAGGGUGCAAGCGUUAAUCGGAAUUACUGGGCGUAAAGCGUGCGCAGGCGGUUUGCUAAGACCGAUGUGAAAUCCCCGGGCUCAACCUGGGAACUGCAUUGGUGACUGGCAGGCUAGAGUAUGGCAGAGGGGGGUAGAAUUCCACGUGUAGCAGUGAAAUGCGUAGAGAUGUGGAGGAAUACCGAUGGCGAAGGCAGCCCCCUGGGCAAUACUGACGCUCAUGCACGAAAGCGUGGGGAGCAAACAGGAUU
Molecule: ribosomal RNA, 427 nt
Filed under: uncultured bacterium
Lineage: Bacteria
Description: partial 16S ribosomal RNA
Rfam family: Bacterial small subunit ribosomal RNA
Source: RNAcentral